UUCUACCUGCGAGAAGCUUACCAACACGGCGAUUUGAAAGCUGUAUCGGGCCGAACUGAAGCCCAUUAGAAAAUUCACCAUCUCACGAACCGAAUAGGAAUCAGUUCCAUUUCUCUUCUUCGUUUAGCUCUUCUCUCAUCUCACCAGUCACCAGUUCCGAUCAAGCCAGAAUGCUGUCGUAGGCGAGCUUCCGGUGAACAAGUCAUCAUGACUCAUGAGCACGGUGACGCACUCGCUGGCGUUCAGAGU
This 249-nucleotide long non-coding RNA is filed under the name Linum usitatissimum (flax). RNAcentral's name for it is "long non-coding RNA (LUSI_LNC000544)". The record is from RNAcentral. Lineage: Eukaryota; Viridiplantae; Streptophyta; Magnoliopsida; Malpighiales; Linaceae.